Canis lupus familiaris (dog) is the source of this 447-nucleotide long non-coding RNA. RefSeq lists it as uncharacterized. The record is from RefSeq and is a predicted model, not a curated record. Lineage: Eukaryota; Metazoa; Chordata; Mammalia; Carnivora; Canidae. The transcript is spliced from 2 exons.
CAAUAUAUAAAGCAGACAGGAAUCGGGCUGCUUUUAGACUUGCAAAAAAACGUUGGUGCUGAAAUGAUGGAUUGUGAGCGUUUCCAGGCAGAGACGGAGAGUUAUGCCCACAGAAGCCCCAGCUCUGAUCCAAGGGAGAGCCAGCCAACCUGCUUUGGUGUAGGGUGCAAAAGUGGCACAGUGAGUUUCUCAGAACCUGGAAGAAGGCUGAAGAAAUCCUAGAGGACACCCAGGACAGAUGCCACCUUCUCCUAAGAAGGGCUGCCACCAUCAUCCUACUCAGCCUUUCCUGCUGCUUGGAAAGGAGUCGGAACCACAGCAGCUGACUUGGACUCAGAUAUGGGAGCCAUGUGCAGAGCCUGGCAGAAACGGACCACCAGCCUUGCGCUGCUCCCCUCUGCACUGUUACGUGUGAGGGAAAUAAACGUCAAUCUGACUUAAAAACCA